This 783-nucleotide long non-coding RNA is filed under the name Oryza sativa (Asian cultivated rice). RNAcentral's name for it is "long non-coding RNA (OSAT_LNC000376)". The record is from RNAcentral. Lineage: Eukaryota; Viridiplantae; Streptophyta; Magnoliopsida; Poales; Poaceae.
UUGCUCAGAGAGAAUGGCCUUCCGAACCUUCAGCGACGACCGCGAACCAUGCUUCGGGAACCUUUGAAACAACAGAAGCUACGCGAAGCACACAAGCAAAGCUACAAGCCUAUAAAGAAGCAAUAACAAUACAUAAAAGGAAAGCACAGGGUUCUUUAGGUUAUAACAAACAUUAAGAGACUUGAACAGGUCGAUUCGGGGUUCGUAUGACCAAGACAUGGUCAUCCGAAGUUUAAUGUUGUUAUAUGGAGAUUUGCGGAUUAUUAUAAUUAGGCUUUGCAACUAUAAAACAUGUGUAAGCGCUAGCCUAGAAAAGAUAGGAAGGCUGCGCCGUUGACAUGUGGACCCCACAUGUCAACCUAAAGGACCAUGGUGGACCGGGUACAUAGAGACGGUUCACGGGUCGACGGAAGCGGACCCCAUGUGUCAACCGAGGCGAGUGGCCGACAAACGGACUCCACUAGACACCACGCGGGCUGCACACGUGGAAACCACGCGGCUACCGAGCGGGCACACUAACACGAACACUACACGGUCACCACCCGCGCACGCGAACAACUGCCGACACCGAUGCACGGGUACCGGGGCCGACAACCGCACAACGGGCACGGUGGCAACACCGAAAGGACAAGGGCGGACAGCGAAGGAGGGAUCCUUACCACCAUGCGACGUGGCAUGGGAACGACGACGACGAACGGGCGCGGCGGAGACGGCUCGGGGACGAUGGAGGAGAACGGCGAGGGAACGACUUCGGCGGCGAUCCUUGGAUGAAGACGAGACACG